Molecule: ribosomal RNA, 1533 nt
Filed under: Staphylococcus aureus M1107
Lineage: Bacteria; Bacillati; Bacillota; Bacilli; Caryophanales; Staphylococcaceae
Description: bacterial LSU rRNA
Rfam family: Bacterial large subunit ribosomal RNA
Source: RNAcentral
GAGUGAAAUAGAACCUGAAACCGUGUGCUUACAAGUAGUCAGAGCCCGUUAAUGGGUGAUGGCGUGCCUUUUGUAGAAUGAACCGGCGAGUUACGAUUUGAUGCAAGGUUAAGCAGUAAAUGUGGAGCCGUAGCGAAAGCGAGUCUGAAUAGGGCGUUUAGUAUUUGGUCGUAGACCCGAAACCAGGUGAUCUACCCUUGGUCAGGUUGAAGUUCAGGUAACACUGAAUGGAGGACCGAACCGACUUACGUUGAAAAGUGAGCGGAUGAACUGAGGGUAGCGGAGAAAUUCCAAUCGAACCUGGAGAUAGCUGGUUCUCUCCGAAAUAGCUUUAGGGCUAGCCUCAAGUGAUGAUUAUUGGAGGUAGAGCACUGUUUGGACGAGGGGCCCCUCUCGGGUUACCGAAUUCAGACAAACUCCGAAUGCCAAUUAAUUUAACUUGGGAGUCAGAACAUGGGUGAUAAGGUCCGUGUUCGAAAGGGAAACAGCCCAGACCACCAGCUAAGGUCCCAAAAUAUAUGUUAAGUGGAAAAGGAUGUGGCGUUGCCCAGACAACUAGGAUGUUGGCUUAGAAGCAGCCAUCAUUUAAAGAGUGCGUAAUAGCUCACUAGUCGAGUGACACUGCGCCGAAAAUGUACCGGGGCUAAACAUAUUACCGAAGCUGUGGAUUGUCCUUUGGACAAUGGUAGGAGAGCGUUCUAAGGGCGUUGAAGCAUGAUCGUAAGGACAUGUGGAGCGCUUAGAAGUGAGAAUGCCGGUGUGAGUAGCGAAAGACGGGUGAGAAUCCCGUCCACCGAUUGACUAAGGUUUCCAGAGGAAGGCUCGUCCGCUCUGGGUUAGUCGGGUCCUAAGCUGAGGCCGACAGGCGUAGGCGAUGGAUAACAGGUUGAUAUUCCUGUACCACCUAUAAUCGUUUUAAUCGAUGGGGGGACGCAGUAGGAUAGGCGAAGCGUGCGAUUGGAUUGCACGUCUAAGCAGUAAGGCUGAGUAUUAGGCAAAUCCGGUACUCGUUAAGGCUGAGCUGUGAUGGGGAGAAGACAUUGUGUCUUCGAGUCGUUGAUUUCACACUGCCGAGAAAAGCCUCUAGAUAGAAAAUAGGUGCCCGUACCGCAAACCGACACAGGUAGUCAAGAUGAGAAUUCUAAGGUGAGCGAGCGAACUCUCGUUAAGGAACUCGGCAAAAUGACCCCGUAACUUCGGGAGAAGGGGUGCUCUUUAGGGUUAACGCCCAGAAGAGCCGCAGUGAAUAGGCCCAAGCGACUGUUUAUCAAAAACACAGGUCUCUGCUAAACCGUAAGGUGAUGUAUAGGGGCUGACGCCUGCCCGGUGCUGGAAGGUUAAGAGGAGUGGUUAGCUUCUGCGAAGCUACGAAUCGAAGCCCCAGUAAACGGCGGCCGUAACUAUAACGGUCCUAAGGUAGCGAAAUUCCUUGUCGGGUAAGUUCCGACCCGCACGAAAGGCGUAACGAUUUGGGCACUGUCUCAACGAGAGACUCGGUGAAAUCAUAGUACCUGUGAAGAUGCAGGUUACCCG